UUGGUUCGGAGUUUGUGUCGAGUACCUCGGAAGAAAUUAUCUUUGCGGCAGACUUCGGACAGACACUGUGCCACAGGACGUUGAUAGAAACGACCACAGAAUUAUGAAUGUGACGCAGCUCUAUUAAAACAUAUCUCCCAAGUGAAAAGUUCGACGGUUUGUCGGGCUAGCUAAAGUUGGUAGCUUGCUAGCACCGUGCAAGCCGUGCUAGCUAACAUACACACCAGACACCAAAGUUAACUUCCCCACUUAUGUCGCCAUGCAUUACUGGACCUGUUUUUGUAUGUGUUCCAUGAGCGUUUUCUCACAAAUCUGGAAGGCGAAAAACACGCAAAUUAUCACUUUGCCGCCAUUUUCGUGUUGGCGUUUUUAUUUAUUCAUAAAGAGAUGUAUUUUCUUGAGCUAACCACUGGGGGCGUAGUUCGUGUAACCUGAUGGUACCACAGGACCAAUCCUGUCGGGAUUCAGGGGUCUCCAUUUCACCUCAACUUGAUUGAGACUGAGAAGAACUGAACUGAAGAUCGGCUUACCUAAGUGAGAUGUUGGGGCGAGGAAGUUUCCAGGAUGGUGGGGCGGAUGACCGAAUGGACCUGCUGAUGGAGAUCUGACACACACUCACCUGCAGCAGAGAAGAGCGUGGCGGGUCGUGCCAAGUCGCUGGGGUGAUGGAUGGCGCCGAAGAGGCUGGGGCCCGGAGGUCGACUCAGGAACUCCGGCUUGAGGCCAAAGUCUAGC
Long non-coding RNA from Epinephelus fuscoguttatus (brown-marbled grouper), 735 nucleotides. RefSeq lists it as uncharacterized. The transcript has 3 exons. The record is from RefSeq and is a predicted model, not a curated record. Lineage: Eukaryota; Metazoa; Chordata; Actinopteri; Perciformes; Serranidae.